UUAAAUGCGUCUUCAUCACAUAAUUCUCUUUCCACUUUUUUUUAAAACCCUUACCUUCCAUUUUAUAAUCAAUAUUACAUGUUGCUUCUAAAGCAUAAGAGUGGUAAAAGCUAGGUAAUUGGGGUUAAGUGACUUGCCCUGGGUCCCAUAGCUAAGAAGUGUUUAAGGCUACAUUUGAACCCAAGUCUUCCUGUCUCUUGUAGAGAUGAGUUGCAAGGAUUUGACAGCCAGGCCAUGAGACACCGAACCCCAGAGAACCUUCAGUGUUGGUAGGGGAAAGAUUCCAAACAGUUGAGGGGACUGUUGAUCUCUUGGGGGUUGGCAGCUACCAAAGAAGCUAGAGAUGGCUGAUCUGUGCUCCUGGGACAUCUUUGGAUCAUCCUACAAGCAGCCCUUUGAAGCAGGAGUGGAUAGUUUUUCAAUGCCCUUAGGCAGACUAAGGGACAAUAUUGGGAGUUCCAGCCAUUCUCUGGACCAUCUAGGACUCCUCAUCUGGACUCCAACCUCUCCUUGCCAAAAGAUUCUAUAUGAGUAGCACCAGAGCUGAGUACUCAAGAAAGAUUAGAAGUUUCAAAGACUCCUUUGACAAGCUGGUGAGUCUAUGGACACUUCAAAAUAAUGUUGUGGUCCCUGUAAUCCCUGUAAUUCAGAAAACCUCAAGUUAAAAACCCUCGAUAUAAUGGAGAGAGUCUAGUCCUUGAGAUUGGAGUUAGAAGACCUGAGAUUUAAUCAGAGCUAAUUUUUGCCUCCUAUGUCUUUAAAACUCUUUUUUUUUAUCUGUAAAAAGAAAGAAUUGAAUUAAAUUGGUACUAAAGUCCCUGCCAACUCUAACAA
This is a long non-coding RNA of Monodelphis domestica (gray short-tailed opossum), 834 nucleotides long. RefSeq lists it as uncharacterized. The record is from RefSeq and is a predicted model, not a curated record. Lineage: Eukaryota; Metazoa; Chordata; Mammalia; Didelphimorphia; Didelphidae.